This 560-nucleotide ribosomal RNA is filed under the name uncultured Ralstonia sp. RNAcentral's name for it is "bacterial SSU rRNA". It matches the Rfam family "Bacterial small subunit ribosomal RNA", at positions 47 to 596 of the family's 1533-position model. The record is from RNAcentral. Lineage: Bacteria; Pseudomonadati; Pseudomonadota; Betaproteobacteria; Burkholderiales; Burkholderiaceae.
CCUUACACAUGCAAGUCGAACGGCAGCAUGAUCUAGCUUGCUAGAUUGAUGGCGAGUGGCGAACGGGUGAGUAAUACAUCGGAACGUGCCCUGUAGUGGGGGAUAACUAGUCGAAAGAUUAGCUAAUACCGCAUACGACCUGAGGGUGAAAGUGGGGGACCGCAAGGCCUCAUGCUAUAGGAGCGGCCGAUGUCUGAUUAGCUAGUUGGUGGGGUAAAGGCCCACCAAGGCGACGAUCAGUAGCUGGUCUGAGAGGACGAUCAGCCACACUGGGACUGAGACACGGCCCAGACUCCUACGGGAGGCAGCAGUGGGGAAUUUUGGACAAUGGGCGAAAGCCUGAUCCAGCAAUGCCGCGUGUGUGAAGAAGGCCUUCGGGUUGUAAAGCACUUUUGUCCGGAAAGAAAUGGCUCUGGUUAAUACCUGGGGUCGAUGACGGUACCGGAAGAAUAAGGACCGGCUAACUACGUGCCAGCAGCCGCGGUAAUACGUAGGGUCCAAGCGUUAAUCGGAAUUACUGGGCGUAAAGCGUGCGCAGGCGGUUGUGCAAGACCGAUGUG